UUAAGCGACUAAGCGUACACGGUGGAUGCCCUGGCAGUCAGAGGCGAUGAAGGACGUGCUAAUCUGCGAAAAGCGUCGGUAAGGUGAUAUGAACCGUUAUAACCGGCGAUGUCCGAAUGGGGAAACCCAGUGCAAUUCGUUGCACUAUCGUUAACUGAAUACAUAGGUUAACGAGGCGAACCGGGGGAACUGAAACAUCUAAGUACCCCGAGGAAAAGAAAUCAACCGAGAUUCCCCCAGUAGCGGCGAGCGAACGGGGAGCAGCCCAGAGUCUGAAUCAGCUUGUGUGUUAGUGGAACGGUCUGGAAAGUCCGACGGUACAGGGUGAUAGUCCCGUACACCAAAAUGCACAGGUUGUGAACUCGAAGAGUAGGGCGGGACACGUGGUAUCCUGUCUGAAUAUGGGGGGACCAUCCUCCAAGGCUAAAUACUCCUGACUGACCGAUAGUGAACCAGUACCGUGAGGGAAAGGCGAAAAGAACCCCGGCGAGGGGAGUGAAAAAGAACCUGAAACCGUGUACGUACAAGCAGUGGGAGCACCUUCGGGUGUGACUGCGUACCUUUUGUAUAAUGGGUCAGCGACUUAUAUUCUGUAGCAAGGUUAACCGUAUAGGGGAGCCGCAGGGAAACCGAGUCUUAACUGGGCGUUAAGUUGCAGGGUAUAGACCCGAAACCCGGUGAUCUAGCCAUGGGCAGGUUGAAGGUUGGGUAACACUAACUGGAGGACCGAACCGACUAAUGUUGAAAAAUUAGCGGAUGACUUGUGGCUGGGGGUGAAAGGCCAAUCAAACCGGGAGAUAGCUGGUUCUCCCCGAAAGCUAUUUAGGUAGCGCCUCGUGAACUCAUCUUCGGGGGUAGAGCACUGUUUCGGCUAGGGGGGCAUCCCGACUUACCAACCCGAUGCAAACUACGAAUACCGAAGAAUGUUAUCACGGGAGACACACGGCGGGUGCUAACGUCCGUCGUGAAGAGGGAAACAACCCAGACCGCCAGCUAAGGUCCCAAAGUCAUGGUUAAGUGGGAAACGAUGUGGGAAGGCACAGACAGCCAGGAUGUUGGCUUAGAAGCAGCCAUCAUUUAAAGAAAGCGUAAUAGCUCACUGGUCGAGUCGGCCUGCGCGGAAGAUGUAACGGGGCUAAACCAUGCACCGAAGCUGCGGCAGCGACACUAUGUGUUGUUGGGUAGGGGAGCGUUCUGUAAGCCUGCGAAGGUGACCUGUGAGGGUUGCUGGAGGUAUCAGAAGUGCGAAUGCUGACAUAAGUAACGAUAAAGCGGGUGAAAAGCCCGCUCGCCGGAAGACCAAGGGUUCCUGUCCAACGUUAAUCGGGGCAGGGUGAGUCGACCCCUAAGGCGAGGCCGAAAGGCGUAGUCGAUGGGAAACAGGUUAAUAUUCCUGUACUUGGUGUUACUGCGAAGGGGGGACGGAGAAGGCUAUGUUAGCCGGGCGACGGUUGUCCCGGUUUAAGCAUGUAGGCUGAUUAUCCAGGCAAAUCCGGAUAAUCAAGGCUGAGGUGUGAUGACGAGGCACUACGGUGCUGAAGUAACAAAUGCCCUGCUUCCAGGAAAAGCCUCUAAGCAUCAGGUAACAUUAAAUCGUACCCCAAACCGACACAGGUGGUCAGGUAGAGAAUACCAAGGCGCUUGAGAGAACUCGGGUGAAGGAACUAGGCAAAAUGGUGCCGUAACUUCGGGAGAAGGCACGCUGGUGUGUAGGUGAAGUCCCUGCGGAUGGAGCUGAGACCAGUCGAAGAUACCAGCUGGCUGCAACUGUUUAUUAAAAACACAGCACUGUGCAAACACGAAAGUGGACGUAUACGGUGUGACGCCUGCCCGGUGCCGGAAGGUUAAUUGAUGGGGUUAUCCGUAAGGAGAAGCUCUUGAUCGAAGCCCCGGUAAACGGCGGCCGUAACUAUAACGGUCCUAAGGUAGCGAAAUUCCUUGUCGGGUAAGUUCCGACCUGCACGAAUGGCGUAAUGAUGGCCAGGCUGUCUCCACCCGAGACUCAGUGAAAUUGAACUCGCUGUGAAGAUGCAGUGUACCCGCGGCAAGACGGAAAGACCCCGUGAACCUUUACUAUAGCUUGACACUGAACAUUGAGCCUUGAUGUGUAGGAUAGGUGGGAGGCUUUGAAGCGUGGACGCCAGUCUGCGUGGAGCCAACCUUGAAAUACCACCCUUUAAUGUUUGAUGUUCUAACGUUGGCCCCUGACCGGGGUUGCGGACAGUGUCUGGUGGGUAGUUUGACUGGGGCGGUCUCCUCCCAAAGCGUAACGGAGGAGCACGAAGGUUAGCUAAUCCUGGUCGGACAUCAGGAGGUUAGUGCAAUGGCAUAAGCUAGCUUGACUGCGAGCGUGACGGCGCGAGCAGGUGCGAAAGCAGGUCAUAGUGAUCCGGUGGUUCUGAAUGGAAGGGCCAUCGCUCAACGGAUAAAAGGUACUCCGGGGAUAACAGGCUGAUACCGCCCAAGAGUUCAUAUCGACGGCGGUGUUUGGCACCUCGAUGUCGGCUCAUCACAUCCUGGGGCUGAAGUAGGUCCCAAGGGUAUGGCUGUUCGCCAUUUAAAGUGGUACGCGAGCUGGGUUUAGAACGUCGUGAGACAGUUCGGUCCCUAUCUGCCGUGGGCGCUGGAGAAUUGAGGGGGGCUGCUCCUAGUACGAGAGGACCGGAGUGGACGCAUCACUGGUGUUCGGGUUGUCAUGCCAAUGGCACUGCCCGGUAGCUAAAUGCGGAAGAGAUAAGUGCUGAAAGCAUCUAAGCACGAAACUUGCCCCGAGAUGAGUUCUCCCUGAGACUUUAAGUCUCCUGAAGGAACGUUAAAGACGAUGACGUUGAUAGGCCGGGUGUGUAAGCGCAGCGAUGCGUUGAGCUAACCGGUACUAAUGAACCGUGAGGCUUAACCUU
RNAcentral lists this ribosomal RNA (2900 nucleotides) under Klebsiella pneumoniae. RNAcentral's name for it is "bacterial LSU rRNA". It matches the Rfam family "Bacterial large subunit ribosomal RNA". Lineage: Bacteria; Pseudomonadati; Pseudomonadota; Gammaproteobacteria; Enterobacterales; Enterobacteriaceae. The record is from RNAcentral.